CUCUUUAAGAUCUCAACUAUCUCUAUAUAAAAUUCUUGUCCUCUCCUUUCCCCCCUCAUAUUUUGUCUGCAAUCUAAAUGCACUAAACACACACAUACAAUUACCAAACACCCUCUCAUUCACUCUCUUCUCUCUCGAUCUAUACAUAUACAAACAAAAAGAAAUCAAACCCCACACAUAACACAGACAACAACCACAGCUGACUACCCCUCCCCCCCCCUCUGACGACACCCAUCUUUAUACCCCCUGGCGACGUUCCAACGGCGGAAAGCCGUCGCCGUGCGGCGGCGUGACGACAAGACAGAGAAACAGAGGAGAGAAAAAGAUGAAGAGAGAGAGAGGGGAAGGGAGAUGAUGAGAGAGAAAGAGUGAAGAAGGAGCGCGGCAGCGACGGCGGGACUCGGCGGAGCUCGCCAGAACCGGCAAAGACGAAGAUAGAGAGAGUUGGUGAUGUCGGCUGUGGUGGUCGUUUGUGGCUUCUUUCUGUUCAAUCUCAGUUCAGCAAGAGUGGGAUUAGCUUAGGCUCGAGCUCAAAUGGUUAGUUCGGGUGUUUGGGUGUCACGGUUAACUUCGGGUCGGUCUCGGUCAGAUCUGGGUCAUGUUUAAGCGCGUCAGGUUUGGAUUUUGGGUCACCCACGGGUUUUUGGGUCAUCAUCGAGUCAAACCCGGUUAACUGAUGCCAACGACAGCCAAAGGUUCGGGUCAGCGGGUCAACAAUUCCAAUAUGGUUCAGAUUUGGUGCGUUUCGGUUUAGAUUUUUGGUUCGGGUCGAUUCGGUCAAACUGAGUCGACUCGGUCAAAUAUGGUCAACUCGCUGAAUCAACUCGGUCAACUCAGCCGGCCAACUCAGUUGACCCGGUCAACUCAGCAAGCGUUUCGACAAUAGAAGAUGGUAAAAGUUUAAGUCGCGAUUAUUUUCGUUAACUAUUCCUUAUUUUAAUAAUACGUGAUAACGAGCUCGAACCGACAUGAUUAUAGUUUACAUUUUAUGAAAUUUUUGGCAAAUUGAUAUAUUGGUAAUUGAAUCUUG
Molecule: long non-coding RNA, 1030 nt
Organism: Helianthus annuus (common sunflower)
Lineage: Eukaryota; Viridiplantae; Streptophyta; Magnoliopsida; Asterales; Asteraceae
Exons: 2
Source: RefSeq, a predicted model, not a curated record